UGUCAUGGCGGCUGUGUGCGGGCAGACUUCGGUCUGGCCGGGUGUCCAUAACCGGUAUUCUCACCCCGCAUACAGUUGCCACCUUU
This 86-nucleotide non-coding RNA is filed under the name Pseudomonas sp. B10. Lineage: Bacteria; Pseudomonadati; Pseudomonadota; Gammaproteobacteria; Pseudomonadales; Pseudomonadaceae. The record is from RNAcentral.